AUUGAACGCUGGCGGCAUGCCUAACACAUGCAAGUCGAACGGCAGCACAGAUAUAGCUUACUAUAUUGGGUGGCGAGUGGCGGACGGGUGAGUAACGCGUGGGUAUAUGACCUAAUGACGGGGACAACUUGCGGAAACGCGAGCUAAUACCGGAUAAGCUCUGAGGAGGAAAGCUGGGGAUCUGGCGACAGACCUGGCGCUUUAGGAGUAACCUGCGUCCAAUUAGCUAGUUGGUAGGGUAAAGGCCUACCAAGGCGACGAUUGGUAGCUGGUCUGAGAGGACGGACAGCCACACUGGGACUGAGACAC
RNAcentral lists this ribosomal RNA (309 nucleotides) under uncultured bacterium. Its description in RNAcentral is "bacterial SSU rRNA". It matches the Rfam family "Bacterial small subunit ribosomal RNA", at positions 30 to 327 of the family's 1533-position model. The record is from RNAcentral.